GUCAAAAUGAGUAUUUUAUAAUGAUUCUAUCUUUGUGAAAUAAUCAUUAUUCAGGGGUGGUUGACAGUUCAGCUGUAGAAUUAGCUAAACUAAAAUUUAAUAGAAAGAAUAGAAAACGUACCUUUUCAACAACAUUCAAAACCUGAGAAGUUCCAGGAUCCAAUGUGGAUUCUGAGUGCAUGGUACCAGCGCCGCCCGCCAGCCCAGCAUGUCAGUUAGCCGCAAGGCUAAUACGUCCCUGCACAGGACACAUAGUUCCAAAAGGAACUAACAUACACAUCUUUAUUUUUUUCUCAGGACUUGGCCAUAGGCUUAUUACAUG
Non-coding RNA from Pelobates cultripes (western spadefoot toad), 322 nucleotides. NCBI's taxonomy places the organism in Eukaryota, Metazoa, Chordata, Amphibia, Anura, Pelobatidae. The record is from the annotation of a GenBank genome assembly.